AGUGAACGCUGGCGGUAGGCCUAACACAUGCAAGUCGAACGGCAGCACAGUAAGAGCUUGCUCUUACGGGUGGCGAGUGGCGGACGGGUGAGGAAUACAUCGGAAUCUACUUUUUCGUGGGGGAUAACGUAGGGAAACUUACGCUAAUACCGCAUACGACCUACGGGUGAAAGCAGGGGAUCUUCGGACCUUGCGCGAUUGAAUGAGCCGAUGUCGGAUUAGCUAGUUGGCGGGGUAAAGGCCCACCAAGGCGACGAUCCGUAGCUGGUCUGAGAGGAUGAUCAGCCACGCUGGAACUGAGACACGGUCCAGACUCCUACGGGCGGCAGCAGUGGGGAAUAUUGGACAAUGGGCGCAAGCCUGAUCCAGCCAUACCGCGUGGGUGAAGAAGGCCUUCGGGUUGUAAAGCCCUUUUGUUGGGAAAGAAAAGCAGCAGGUUAAUACCCCGCUGUUCUGACGGUACCCAAAGAAUAAGCACCGGCUAACUUCG
RNAcentral lists this ribosomal RNA (490 nucleotides) under uncultured bacterium. Its description in RNAcentral is "partial 16S ribosomal RNA". It matches the Rfam family "Bacterial small subunit ribosomal RNA", at positions 29 to 505 of the family's 1533-position model. The record is from RNAcentral.